Molecule: long non-coding RNA, 181 nt
Organism: Dermochelys coriacea (leatherback sea turtle)
Lineage: Eukaryota; Metazoa; Chordata; Testudines; Dermochelyidae
Exons: 3
Source: RefSeq, a predicted model, not a curated record
ACAACAGGUCAGGAAAUAUUCAAAUUAUUGGAUGAUUUCAUGAAAGCUGAAUCGCUGAAUUGGGAGAACUGUGUUGCUGUUUGUAUGGACAGUGCUGACACUAUGACAGGCAAUAGGAGUGGUGUUGUAGCAAGAAUAUGAGUCAUAAACCCACAGGUAAUUGGAACAUAGUGGAUGUUGC